UACGUAGGGUGCAAGCGUUGUCCGGAAUUAUUGGGCGUAAAGAGCUCGUAGGCGGUCUGUCGCGUCGGCUGUGAAAACCCGGGGCUCAACCCCGGGCCUGCAGUCGAUACGGGCAGACUAGAGUGCGGUAGGGGAGACUGGAAUUCCUGGUGUAGCGGUGAAAUGCGCAGAUAUCAGGAGGAACACCGGUGGCGAAGGCGGGUCUCUGGGCCGUAACUGACGCUGAGGAGCGAAAGCGUGGGGAGCGAGCAGG
This 253-nucleotide ribosomal RNA is filed under the name uncultured bacterium. RNAcentral describes it as "partial 16S ribosomal RNA". It matches the Rfam family "Bacterial small subunit ribosomal RNA", at positions 524 to 776 of the family's 1533-position model. The record is from RNAcentral.